This 254-nucleotide ribosomal RNA is filed under the name uncultured bacterium. RNAcentral's name for it is "partial 16S ribosomal RNA". It matches the Rfam family "Bacterial small subunit ribosomal RNA", at positions 524 to 776 of the family's 1533-position model. The record is from RNAcentral.
UACGUAGGGGGCAAGCGUUGUCCGGAUUUAUUGGGCGUAAAGAGCUCGUAGGUGGUUCGGUAAGUCGGAUGUGAAAUCUCCAGGCUCAACCUGGAGGGGUCAUUCGAUACUGCCGUGACUAGAGUUCGGUAGGGGAGUGUGGAAUUCCUGGUGGAGCGGUGAAAUGCGCAGAUAUCAGGAGGAACACCCGAAGCGAAGGCGGCACUCUGGGCCGAUACUGACACUGAGGAGCGAAAGCGUGGGGAGCGAACAGG